RNAcentral lists this ribosomal RNA (156 nucleotides) under Euphorbia serrata. RNAcentral's name for it is "5.8S ribosomal RNA". It matches the Rfam family "5.8S ribosomal RNA". From Rfam's summary of the family: 5.8S ribosomal RNA (5.8S rRNA) is a component of the large subunit of the eukaryotic ribosome. It is transcribed by RNA polymerase I as part of the 45S precursor that also contains 18S and 28S rRNA. Functionally, it is thought that 5.8S rRNA may be involved in ribosome translocation. The record is from RNAcentral. RNAcentral also lists the same sequence under 3 other names. Lineage: Eukaryota; Viridiplantae; Streptophyta; Magnoliopsida; Malpighiales; Euphorbiaceae.
AACGACUCUCGGCAACGGAUAUCUCGGCUCUCGCAUCGAUGAAGAACGCAGCGAAAUGCGAUACUUGGUGUGAAUUGCAGGAUCCCGCGAACCAUCGAGUCUUUGAACGCAAGUUGCGCCCGAAGCCUUUCGGCCGAGGGCACGUCUGCCUGGGUG